AACGAACGCUGGCGGCAGGCCUAACACAUGCAAGUCGAGCGCCCUUUCGGGGGAGCGGCGGACGGGUGAGUAACGCGUGGGAAUAUGCCCUUCUCUACGGAAUAGCCUCGGGAAACUGAGAGAAAUACCGAAUACGCCCGGGGGGGGAAAGAUUUAUCGGGGAAGGAUUAGCCCGCGUUGGAUUAGGUAGUUGGUGGGGUAAUGGCCUACCAAGCCGACGAUCCAUAGCUGGUUUGAGAGGAUGAUCAGCCACACUGGGACUGAGACACGGCCCAGACUCCUACGGGAGGCAGCAGUGGGGAAUCUUAGACAAUGGGGGCAACCCUGAUCUAGCCAUGCCGCGUGAGUGAUGAAGGCCUUAGGGUUGUAAAGCUCUUUCAGCUGGGAAGAUAAUGACGGUACCAGCAGAAGAAGCCCCGGCUAACUCCGUG
RNAcentral lists this ribosomal RNA (431 nucleotides) under uncultured bacterium. Its description in RNAcentral is "partial 16S ribosomal RNA". It matches the Rfam family "Bacterial small subunit ribosomal RNA", at positions 29 to 507 of the family's 1533-position model. The record is from RNAcentral.